This 4844-nucleotide long non-coding RNA is filed under the name Triticum aestivum (bread wheat). RNAcentral describes it as "long non-coding RNA (TAES_LNC020237)". The record is from RNAcentral. Lineage: Eukaryota; Viridiplantae; Streptophyta; Magnoliopsida; Poales; Poaceae.
GUGCGCCAUGGGGGCGAUCAGCUCGGCGGGGAUCUCCAACACCCACGUACGCAGGUGCCUUUACCUUCCGCUCCCCUCUCCCCCUGGCCACUGGCCGCGCUCGCUUGAGAUCUGCCGGAGCUCCGGCCUCCGGCCUCCGGCACCCCUCGAGAGGUUAGGGCCAUUUUAUUGCCAAACUCUAGGGUUCGCAUCGGCUGUUGGGCACCCUCUGUGCUCAAAUUGGCAGCGGGGUUUGAUCCGAGAAGCAAAAGUUAGUGGUUUCUGGGGCAUUGCUACUGACUACGGUAGUAUUAAAUGGCCAGUCGCGUCGUGGGUGGGUGCAAAUUCAGCUUUGGUGGUGUUGGAAUAAACCUGGAUUUUACAAUGUUGCUGUGCGGAUUUUACAUAGCACCUACAUCGCCUCCUGGGGGCACGGUCAUAGAUUUGGCCUUCUUGCCUCAUUUAUGUCACUGUCCACAUGAAGCAGAAUUAUUCAUAGCAAGAAUAACAUCAUGCUAUCUCCCUCUCUUCCACUGUGUUGUCCCAACCUAGAUGCAUAAUCCUAGAUUUUCUUCUAAACAUUGGACCUUUGUUUUGAAACACAACCCUUCAUUGCAUUGGCACCAACCUUACGAGAAUUUCCCUGUAACAGUAUAUGCCAAAACAGUGAUAUGGAUUAACUAGUUACAGAUAGAACCAUUUGAUUAUGCAUAAUAAUAGAAAUCAUUUGUUACCACUGCAAACGAAAGUAUUUUUCAUUGUCAAAUACAGAACACACACCCACUAUUUUUCAUCUCAGGUUCAAAUUACAAAUAUGAAAUCUCUAAAACUAUAUCAGCACCUUGUGACUCUAAAGCCAAGAUUGUUCUUUUGUCCACAUCUGCAUUCUUGUUAUCAAAUCUAAAUCCACGGUGUCACUUAUUGUACUACAACAUACAGUUCACUACAACUGUAGAUGGAGAAUCUUCUACAACUCUCUUAUGAAAUGAUAUUUCAACUUUGUUCAGAAAUCCUACCAUCUACGAUUGAAUCGCAGUCAGUCACUAGCUCUUUUGCUCUUGCCACAAGGGCGGAGAUAGGGGUGCUGUACUCCAUGAGACCUGCAUCACCCAAUAAGAGUUUGUAGUCCUCAGCCUUCGACAGUGUUUGUUCUACCACUGAUAGGGCUUCUGUCAUCCUGAAUUCGUUGAAACAGUUUGCAUAGUGAUAAUUGCACUCCACCAUGUUAAUGACUUGCUCAAGUAUCACCCUUCUGAUCCCAGGACAAUGAGCACUAGGUUCCAUGUUUGCAUUCAACGCAUCAAUCAGCCUCUUCACGAAUCUCUGCUUAAUCUGACCGCCCUCUAGUUCUUCGGUAAAGUCUUUGGGGAUGAUUCUACAAAUCUGUGAACUAAGGCCAAUGAGGAUCUCUAGUUCUGCCCCUUCCACAUCAAUUAUUUUUUCCAACACCUGUAGUGAAAUGUAUCGUCAUUAAUGACAAUAUAAUGUGCAACUAUACUAUGUUAUUCAGUGAUAAGUAAACAUGCAGAAGUAAAAAAUUGCAGGUUAAACUAACACAAACAACUUUACGCACAAGAACAAGUAUAAAUAGUAAACUUCAUUAGCCACCUCUAAUAGUGCAGUCAUUGCUUGUAUUAACAGGGCUCACCUCUCUCAAGGUAUGAGAUAGUUCCUUCAGGUCUGACUCUCUGAGCUCGGGUUGAGCGUGUAGGCACAGAUUGCGCAACAGGCUUGCUGCCACAUAUAUGUACUUGCCAUGGAUCGAGAUCAUAGGUUUGAGUUUCUUAAUGAACUCUGGUUCCUUCAACACAAUCAAGCAAUUUUGGACACUUUCUGUUGUGAGCAUUGCCAGUGCUUGCCCGGUGACCUUCCGUGAUAAGUGAUCAGCAUUGGUACUCAUGGUUCCUUCUCCAUUGAUAAAUGUCUGCGUCAGCCUAAUGAUGAUCAGUUGAAUGCGACCAAUCUCCUGCCUUGUGUUCCCAUCAAUGGCAAUGUUCCUGAGGAUUCCUGCCACCAACUUUAUCAAUUCCUGGCUGCUCCCGUUGUAUUCCAAGGUUUCUGCAAGGUUUCUCAAUAGCAAGGGAUGUUUUGAUAUCUUGUACCGCAGUGUUAUGCCGAUUUCCCCACCAAUGCUUGCGAGUCUUUGCAGCACUGUCAGUGAUGACUUAAGCAGGAGCUUUUGUUGUGUUUCGGUAUCCACAGUGUUCAUGGCAUGUCUGAAUCUUGUGAAUCCUAUGAUCUUCGGGAUGAGGUUAGCUGCAUUGCUGAUUUGCACACAGUUUUCCUGAUCACAACCAGCAAGACUUUCAAUAAUUGACAUGGCCAGUGCAGGGAGAAGAUCAUGGUCUGUCGGUAGCUGCUCCUUGGGAACCGAACAUAAUUCUAAAAUAUGCUGCCAGCAUUUGAGUAUGUAAGAAUUUGGCUUGUCAUUGCAGGCUUGUUGGGUUGAGCAGGCUUGUGUUUCCUCGAGCAGGUUAUCGGUGUCUUGAAGUUGUUCUCGUCUUUGCCCUUGGUUAUCAGCUACAUCCCUUACUGUAUGUUGCUCUUGGCCAUCUUCCAGAAAUUGGUCUUGUUUUUCUUGUUCAUCAUCUGUGUCCAGAAGCAGAUUUCCUCUUUUUGUUCCACUGUCAGCAUCAAGAAGUGCGGACACAAGCUGUAUUGUACCGGGGAAAGUGACGACACGGAGGUCCUUUGCAAGUUCAGCGGUGACCUUCGCAGCAUAUAAUCUGAUAGUUGUAUCCUUUGGACUUGUCCAAUCCAACAUGCUAAUUAUUCUGGCCACUGUCUUGGUAGAAGUGGCGAGUUUUGAAAGUAGUUGUGCCUUGGUUGGCUCCCUUUGCAGAAAGCUGGGCAUCAUCUGAAUACCAUAGAUCUGAUUCUUGGAUGAAUCCGAGUUUAGAGAAUCCAUGGCAAAGUUACUCAGGCUGAUCUUCUUUGGAGCAAGCACACCCUCCUGCAUGCAUUUCUCCAAGGCGUACGCAUAGUACAGAUCGACAGAUUUCACUCCCCAGUAACCUCUAAACCCACCACAAUGGACAAGGAAUCUCCGAGGGAUGAAAGAAAAUAACUCGAGCAUGCAAGCCACAGCGUAGAGGACUCCUUGCCCAAGCACCAUCCAAUAGAAAAUUCUGAGAGAUGCUUUCAGGUUCUCUUGAUCAUCCUUGUACUCAUGCUGUAAGCCCAAGCUUGCUAGCCAGAUACGCACCACUGCUGCUGGAACCUGGAAGUUGCCAAAUGACACCACCACCAAGGCACACGCUUGAACUAUCAAGAUAACAAGGAUGUUCGUGGGUUGACCUAACUGUAGGAUGUACACCUGCAUCCCUAGCGCAGCAAUCAUGCACAAGUUUAUAACAACUCGGUGCCAAAAUUCCUGUUUGCUGCCAAGAAUACUAUCCGCUAGUUUAAUGACUCUGGUGAACCGUAGCCUGCUUAUUGUUACCAAUAGCACUGGCACCAGUAGUGUUGUGAAUACAAUCCAACUGAUCAGGCCUAUCCAUCUGUUGUAUGGAUCAUGAUCAUCACCAUCAUAUGUGUAUUUAUUAAUACAAGCUGAUAGAGGGGGAGCCGUGAGUAAAAUUGCAACCAAGGGGCUCCAUAGCGAUGUGGCACGGCUUAGCGGUUUCCAUAUGUGCAGUUUCAGCCCGGACAGGAACCGGACAGUUGCAAGUAUUAUUACCAUCGCUAGAAGCGUCAUAUCAGUCAUAUAAUAUUUCCUCCAGAGGAUCACGAAAACAUCAAAAAAGCAUAGUACCACAACCAGUCCAUUCCAUCCCAUAGGUCUAAAGGCUCCCCUUGUGUUAAAGAACAGUUGGUAAUCCAUUCUGUUGUUGCGGGUGAACAUCCUGAAUUAUCAAGUAUGCAUAUAUGGUGUCAUUAAAUGAUAUAUGGACACAAACCCAAGAUGAUGAGCAUCCAGAUCAUACUCCAGUGUUUAAGAAAGAUAGACAUGAUUCCAGUAGAUCAUAAUAAUGCUAGGCUCUUGUUAAAUCGGACCCUAACUGUGCUAAGCCUAGCUUGGUGGCAUUGAUGCAGCAAUAGGCAGAGUAUAUUUUUCUACUAGCGGUCGAUGAACUAGUUGCAAGUAUAGAUGUUUCCAAUGCAUGCCCUGCUAGUUUCAAGUUUGGGUCGUUAAACCUAAUUUCAUGACAGGGACGGUAGAAAAGUUGCAUUAUUCUAGGAGAACACCGACGGCGUACCUAUAAUUGAGUGAUAAUUGUUAUUAUUAUAUAAUUACUCACAUGUUGUCAAUAUACAAGUUUCCAUGGCUUAACUGGGGAAAGUCUAACAGGAAGCUAGGAACCUAUAUCCAUAAUUGGGGAAAGGCUAAUUUCAAUCGUUAGAUUGUACACUUCAAAACUUCCAAUUUUUUUAUGGUACUACAUAGUGUUAAUUUAGGUACAUGUACACAAAUUGGAGAGAGAAGCCUAACCCAACUUGUUUGGGACUAAAGACUUUGUUGUUGUUGUUGUAGUACACAGAUUGGAGAGAGAGAGAAAGGUUAUAACAAAGCUCAUCAAUGCAGGUGGGUGACCAUGGGCUAGCAAUCAAUCAGCCAGCCUCAUAUCCUCCUGGCCAUAUUGCGCUAAGCAGUACUGGCGCUAAGGUAUGAGCAUCCGUUACACUCUUUUCUGCCAACAAAUGUUCCUAAAUUAACGCUUUAUGAUAUGUUGAGGUUAAUUUUGAGAACUUCCGUAAAAAUGUACAAAUCAGCGAGAGGUUUCUAUUCAUGGAUGUAUGUAUGCUCACAAAAACUGAUUAUCAUCAUACCUUAUAGCUUCGAGGAAUACUAUCGCUGCUGCAUACCAAAAAUCAUGAUCCAAACUGAGAUCCUUGGAGUAGCCUCCGAGCAGGACAACAGUCGC